RNAcentral lists this ribosomal RNA (464 nucleotides) under uncultured bacterium. RNAcentral's name for it is "partial 16S ribosomal RNA". It matches the Rfam family "Bacterial small subunit ribosomal RNA", at positions 28 to 507 of the family's 1533-position model. The record is from RNAcentral.
GAUGAACGCUGGCGGCGUGCUUAACACAUGCAAGUCGAACGAUGAAGCCCAGCUUGCUGGGUGGAUUAGUGGCGAACGGGUGAGUAACACGUGAGUAACCUGCCCUUGACUCUGGGAUAAGCCCGGGAAACUGGGUCUAAUACCGGAUAGGAGCGCCUGUCGCAUGACGGGUGUUGGAAAGAUUUUUCGGUCAUGGAUGGACUCGCGGCCUAUCAGCUUGUUGGUGAGGUAAUGGCUCACCAAGGCGACGACGGGUAGCCGGCCUGAGAGGGUGACCGGCCACACUGGGACUGAGACACGGCCCAGACUCCUACGGGAGGCAGCAGUGGGGAAUAUUGCACAAUGGGCGGAAGCCUGAUGCAGCGACGCCGCGUGAGGGAUGACGGCCUUCGGGUUGUAAACCUCUCAGUAGGGAAGAAGCGAAAGUGACGGUACCUGCAGAAGAAGCACCGGCUAACUACGUG